RNAcentral lists this ribosomal RNA (435 nucleotides) under uncultured bacterium. Its description in RNAcentral is "bacterial SSU rRNA". It matches the Rfam family "Bacterial small subunit ribosomal RNA", at positions 47 to 524 of the family's 1533-position model. The record is from RNAcentral.
CUUAACACAUGCAAGUCGCACGGUCGGAGCAAUCCGGCAGUGGCGGACGGGUGAGUAACGCGUAGGAAUCUAUCUCUGGGUGGGGGACAACCGUGGGAAACUACGGCUAAUACCGCAUGAUACCUGAGGGUCAAAGGCGCAAGUCGCCUGGAGAGGAGCCUGCGUACGAUUAGCUUGUUGGUGGGGUAAAGGCCUACCAAGGCGACGAUCGUUAGCUGGUCUGAGAGGAUGAUCAGCCACAUUGGGACUGAGACACGGCCCAAACUCCUACGGGAGGCAGCAGUGGGGAAUAUUGGACAAUGGGCGCAAGCCUGAUCCAGCAAUGCCGCGUGUGUGAAGAAGGUCUUCGGAUUGUAAAGCACUUUUGGCAGGGACGAUGAUGACGGUACCUGCGGAAUAAGCCCCGGCUAACUUCGUGCCAGCAGCCGCGGUAAU